GUGCGACCCACAUGGGCAGGCGGCCCAGGUGGGCAUGUGGUCCAGGCGAGCGCAUGGCCCAGCCGGGCGCGCGGCCCAAGCGUGCGCAGGCUUGCGCGUGGGAGUGGGUCGGCCCAGGCCCAGCGGCCUGCUGGCCCUUUGCCUCGGUCCAUCGUGGAUCGGGCGGUCCACAACUGGGCCUGUGGACCACACAGGCAUUUCUCAUGCAUUUUGCAUGGUCCACGGCACUAUUCC
This 234-nucleotide long non-coding RNA is filed under the name Elaeis guineensis (African oil palm). Its description in RNAcentral is "long non-coding RNA (EGUI_LNC069627)". The record is from RNAcentral. Lineage: Eukaryota; Viridiplantae; Streptophyta; Magnoliopsida; Arecales; Arecaceae.